AGCGAACGCUGGCGGCAGGCUUAACACAUGCAAGUCGAACGCUCGUAGCAAUACGGGAGUGGCAGACGGGUGAGUAACGCGUGGGAAUAUGCCUUUUGGUUCGGAAUAACGCAGGGAAACUUGGGCUAAUACCGGAUAAGCCCGUGAGGGGAAGGAUUUAUCGCCAAAAGAUUAGCCCGCGUCCGAUUAGCUAGUUGGUGAGGUAAUGGCUCACCAAGGCGACGAUCGGUAGCUGGUGUGAGAGGAUGAUCAGCCACAUUGGGACUGAGACACGGCCCAAACUCCUACGGGAGGCAGCAGUGGGGAAUAUUGGACGAUGGGCGCAAGCCUGAUCCAGCCAUGCCGCGUGAGGGAUGAAGGACUUAGGGUUGUAAAGCUCUUUUGUCCGGGAAGAUAAUGACGGUACCGGAAGAAUAAGCCCCGGCUAACUUCGUGCCAGCCGCCGCCGUAA
RNAcentral lists this ribosomal RNA (451 nucleotides) under uncultured bacterium. RNAcentral's name for it is "partial 16S ribosomal RNA". It matches the Rfam family "Bacterial small subunit ribosomal RNA", at positions 29 to 523 of the family's 1533-position model. The record is from RNAcentral.